Molecule: ribosomal RNA, 894 nt
Filed under: uncultured Bacillota bacterium
Lineage: Bacteria; Bacillati; Bacillota
Description: bacterial SSU rRNA
Rfam family: Bacterial small subunit ribosomal RNA
Source: RNAcentral
AACGCUGGCGGCGUGCUUAACACAUGCCAAGUCGAACGGAGUUUACAUGUGAGCGGAGGGUGCUUGCAUCUAACAAUCUUUUGUAAACUUAGUGGCGGACGGGUGAGUAACGCGUGGGUAACCUGCCGUAUGCAGGGGGACAACAGCUGGAAACGGCUGCUAAUACCGCAUAAGCGCACAGUACUGCAUGGUACAGUGUGAAAAGUUCUGGCGGCAUACGAUGGACCCGCGUCUGAUUAGCUAGUUGGUGAGGUAACAGCCCACCAAGGCGACGAUCAGUAGCCGGCCUGAGAGGGUGAACGGCCACAUUGGGACUGAGACACGGCCCAAACUCCUACGGGAGGCAGCAGUGGGGAAUGUUGGACAAUGGGGGAAACCCUGAUCCAGCGACGCCGCGUGAGUGAAGAAGUAUUUCGGUAUGUAAAGCUCUAUCAGCAGGGAAGAAAAUGACGGUACCUGACUAAGAAGCCCCGGCUAACUACGUGCCAGCAGCCGCGGUAAUACGUAGGGGGCAAGCGUUAUCCGGAUUUACUGGGUGUAAAGGGAGCGUAGACGGUUUAGUAAGUCUGAAGUGAAAGCCCGGGGCUCAACUCCGGGACUGCUUUGGAAACUAUUAAACUAGAGUGCAGGAGAGGUAAGUGGAAUUCCUAGUGUAGCGGUGAAAUGCGUAGAUAUUAGGAGGAACACCAGUGGCGAAGGCGGCUUACUGGACUGUAACUGACGUUGAGGCUCGAAAGCGUGGGGAGCAAACAGGAUUAGAUACCCUGGUAGUCCACGCCGUAAACGAUGAUUACUAGGUGUUGGUGGUUAUGAACCAUCGGUGCCGCAGCUAACGCAAUAAGUAAUCCACCUGGGGAGUACGUUCCCAAGAAUGAAACUCAAAUGAAUUGACGG